Myotis davidii is the source of this 46-nucleotide non-coding RNA. NCBI's taxonomy places the organism in Eukaryota, Metazoa, Chordata, Mammalia, Chiroptera, Vespertilionidae. The record is from Rfam.
CCAAAGGCUCUUUUCAGAGCCACCCACGUUCGCAGAGAAGGAGCUG